AUACAAUUUUCUUAAAAAUAAUAAAUUAUAAGUAUAUAUCUUUACAAAAUUUAACUUUCUUAUAUUAUUACUAUAAAAAUUUUAAUAUUUUCAAAUAUAUCUAUACCGUUAAGAUCUAUUAGAAAAUUUUAGUUAACUAUAUAUAGAUAUAACAAUUAAUUCUGUUUAGUCAAUAAAGUAAAUAAACUUUUUUACUCCUCUUAUAUUAUAUCUUUUUUUCUCAAUCAAAAUUCUAGCAAUGAAAAUCUUUCUUCUUCUUCCUCUUCCUCUUCUUCUCUCUCCUUCAUACUAGCUAGUUUUGAACUCGUAAUUAGAAUUUCUUCGUCCCAUUCAUGCACGACGCGUGUUGUUUCACCUGUGUCGAAAGCAUAUUAUUUCCGCCAUUCAAUUUGCUUUGUGAAUUUUUUUUAUUUUGUUAAAAAAAAUAAUUUAGGAGAAAAGAGGUGAGAGAAGAGGUUGCAAUAAUGGUGAAUUGGGUUGGAUUUUAAAGAAAAAGAAGAUGACUAUUGAAAUUUUUUUUGGAAAGAUAUUUCUGCAUGAUUAUCGCAGUUGGGGCUUUUUGAAAGGACAUAUUUGUGAUGGCAAAAUUGACAUUUCACUUAUCUGCUAUUAAAAAAUAAACAGCUCUCUAACGGUAACAAACCAGAUAGAUUAAUAUAAAUAUUGCUGGACUUUUGUAAAGAUAAUAUAAAAAAGUUGAACUUUAUAAAGAUAUAUUUGCAAUUCACUAUGUUUAGAGGAAACUGUAUGCAUAUUAACCUUUUUAUUUAAAUAGCUUAGUCUCUAAACUUUUCACAUAUAUAUAUAUAUAUAUAUAUAUAUAUAUAUAUAUAUAUAUAUAUAUAUNAUAGAAAUUUUAUUCUAUCUGUAAAAUGCCUAAUUAUUUUUAUUUCUUCAACCCAUCAAUUUUUUUAAUAAAAAAAACUAAUUUCACAAUAAAAAAACAAAAUGUUUCGUCGUAUUUAGUGAUCAAUUAAAAGCUGCAAUACAGGUCCAAGCUAGAAAGAAAUUUUUUAAAAAAGAAAGUAAAGAAAGAGUACAUAUAUGCAUGAGGAACCAACGUAGGAUAUCCGUAUAGUACGUACGGAGACUAUAUAUUCAUACAUUUUUUUGUACCCUUCAUUUAAUUUCUACCGUUACUUUGCGACCGCUUCCAUAUUAAUCGGAGGUGAUAUUUCAUAUUUGGUGGCUCCGUGCGAGAUCAUUAGCUAUUAUUAGUCUGAAUUAAUUAAAUUAAUUCUCGGUUGGCAUCAUCCCUGACUGGCAUCUUGAAAUCAUCGAAAUCCGAGCCGAUCCCGAUCCCCGACUUUUAUUACCACGUGCUCUUCGUACGGGCUGUCCUUAAUGUGCUGUUUACAAGUUAUUAGAAUAAUAAAAUAAAAUGUUACGAUGAUCUCCCCUCUUUUAUUUAUUUACCAUAAUAAAAGUUCGAAUAAAUUACAACUCAGAACCUCAAAAUAUGAGCCACACUAUAUUUUAAAUCUCAAAUUUUUAUUUAUUAUAAUUUUAACUUAAAAUUUUUAAAAUAUUAUAAUUAAUUCAUACAAAUUAAUUUAGUUGGUUAAAUAUUAAUAACUUAUUAAGGUAAAAGUAAUAUAGUAUAUACUUUAUUAUUAUCACAUUAUUAAUUACAAUACUUUCUUAUUUUUCUUGUGCCAACAAUUUAUCAGCAUGCAGCCAAUUAAAUUAGAAUGUGAGUUUUUUUUACAAUAAUUCAAAAAAUUUAACUAGAAUUAUAAUAAACUAAAGUUUAAAAAUAAAAAUAUCACGGUCUUCAUCAUUUGAGGACCACAAGUAUAAUUUAUUCUAAAAGUUUAGAAGAGAGAAGAAUAGGAGCGUAAAAAAAUUCUUAAGAAAGUCUAGCGGAGAAAUAGGGAAAAAGGAAAGGAUGAAAGAAAGUCUAUCGAGUUUCCAGACUCUCGAGUUUUCGGUUGUUGGAUGAAAGGAUGUGCUGUUAAGAUGAUAGUGGUCCUCAGAGUUGAGUGGAUGGUUGGUUGAAUAGUAUAAUCAAACGGGUGGAAAUCAUUAAAGGGUAGAUCUAACGACAGAAAACUCGAUAGUACUAAGAGCUUGGUACUAUCGAUAGUAGAGCAGCCGGACUUAUAUAUAUAGUCACGCCCCGGGGUCUAGUGUUACGAGCUCGCCAACAGAUCCGCCACAUACACAAGAUGCCCUGUAUACAUGAAAUGAUAGGAUAACCUGUGAACAAUUCAAGAACUACUAUAAAAGAGUAACAGAGCUACUAAAAUAAAAAUAAAUAGUCACAUGUACAUACAUAUAAUCUAAGGUGUAUAACAAAACCAAAAGUAUAACGUCAACACCUCACAACACUCAACAAAUAAAACAAAAUACAACUAUGUGUACAUGACUAUAAACAACUACUGUCUCUAAAAUAGUUGUAACACACUGAACUUUUGCAAAUUGCGAGGUUCGAGUGUUUGAUUUGUGUUCCGAGUUUUUUCAGAUAUUCUGGAGAGUCGUUGACGGUGUUCCGAACUAUGGCUCGCAUCCCGAGAAUCGAGAUUUAAAACUUAGCACGAAAAUCUCUAAAGUGAAGAUUUUAGGUUGCUCUCGGGUUGGACUCUGCAGAGUAGAGUACCGGUACUGCAUCGGGCGGGUACCGGUACUCUGUGCAUUUUUCUGCUCGGCCGAGGCUCGGGUUGGCUGUUUGGUUGACUUGGUACCGGUACUGUCACGCCCCCGACCGUACUACCCGAAAACGGUACCAAUUUGGUCCAUUUCGAGGGCGGCGGGCGUGAUGCCGAACGGACAGAGUCUUCACUGUCCGCCCAAGGCUAACCAACCAGAUUGUGUACAACAAGUCCCCAGGAAUACAACUUGAAUUCAUACAUAAUCAAACAACGAUAAUCGAGAGAACAAACAGUGCUAUAUAUCAACAAGAGCAAGCGAUACAAGUAAACAGUAUACAAGUAUUCAAAAGAGAGAAACUUAACGAUUUGAGACAUUUAACCUCUUUCGAUAUCAUUUAAACUUUAAUCAUUUAAUACAACUUGCAUUCUCUUUCCAAAAUGUAAAUACAUCAUAUACUCUCCAAAACCUCACCCUAUACAACAUCUACUCUCCAAAACCUCUUUCGAAGUUAGCCUUUGCUUCAACUCUUUAAAACUCCGGUCACACUCGUCACCCCAAACGAACUUGGUGCCUUUCUGCGUCAAACGGGUAAGCGGAGUCACAAUCUUUGAGAACCCCUCCACAAACCAUCGAUAAUAACCUGCUAGGCCCACAAAACUACGGACCUUAGCUACAUUCGUCGGGCGCGGCCAAUUCUCAAUAGCCUCCACUUUCCUCGGGUCAACUGAGACUCCACUCUCGGAAAUAACAUGCCCGAGAAACGCGACCUCUCGAAGCCAAAAGUCGCAUUUCUUCAGCUUUGCGUACAACUUCUUCUCCUGAAGGAUUUGAAGUACCGUGCGCAAAUGCUCCGCGUGCUCCUCGUCGCUACGCGAAUAGACCAAAAUGUCGUCUAUGAAGACCACGACAAAUUGGUCCAAGCACUCCUGGAACACUCGGUUCAUCAAGCUCAUGAACGCUGCCGGGGCAUUUGUAAGCCCAAAUGGCAUCACCGUGAACUCGUAGUGUCCAUAACGCGUGCGAAACGCCGUCUUCUGAACAUCUUCCGGCUUGAUCUUUAACUGGUGAUAGCCGGACUGAAGGUCGAUCUUAGAAUACACUCGCGACCCCUGCAACUGAUCAAACAAGUCAUCAAUACGGGGUAGCGGGUACUUGUUCUUCACCGUGACCUUGUUCAACUCGCGGUAAUCCAUGCAUAGUCGAAAAGAUCCAUCUUUCUUGCACACAAAUAAUACCGGGGCACCCCACGGCGAAACGCUCGGCCUAAUGAAUUCCUUGUCGAGAAGAUCCUGCAAUUGAUCUCUCAACUCCCUUAGCUCAGCCGGCGCCAUGCGAUACGGGGCCUUAAAAUCGAUGUGGUGCCGGGAACGAAGUUAAUCAUGAACUCGAUCUCCCGGUCCGGCGGCAUACCCGGUAACUCCGCGGGAAACACGUCGGGGAACUCCCGCACAACCGCCAACUCCUCGAGGGUUGGAACCGCUUGAUCAAUCUCCACAACGGUCGCCAAAUAAGCUGUGCAACCGCUGUUCACCAGCUUCCUCGCUCUAGUCGCCGAUACCGUCGCAGCGAAGCACGAGCUCUUGCAAGCUCGAUAGGUGAACUCUUCUUGACCCGGCUCCCGAAAUGUGAUAACUCGAGUCGGGCAAUCAAUCGACACAUAGUACUUCGAGAGCCAAUCCAUGCCCAAUAUGACAUCAAACUCCUUCAACCUUUUGAGCACCAACAAGUCGAUCGGCAUAACCCAGUCAUUCACUUACACUGGACAUGCCAAGCAUCGCUUCCUAACCAAAAAGGAUCGCCCGGGGCCCUCAACAUGCCAAACGUGCUCCCCAAGACGAUACUCAAUAUCAUGCGCUCGUGCAAAUGAUCGACUAAUGAAUGAGUGUGAUGCGCCUGUAUCAAAUAGAGCUCUAGCUCGAACAUCUUUGACCAAAAUUAUACCUUCCACAACGUUGCGCUCGCCGGCCUUAGAAGGCUCCUCAAUGUGCACGGGUGUAGCAUACAUCCUCCCGCUCGGCGCAGAUCAUGCAGGCUCUGGUUGGCGUGGCGCCGCCGCUCGCCCAGUAGAUACUGCAGGAGGGGGCAGAGCAUAGCAAGCUGGAACCGCCGAGGCCGAUGCAGUCGACAUAGCGGGCAAAGCUCCUCCCUGAGGACAGUUGCGGAUGACAUGCCCCGCUUGCCCGCACUUGAAGCACCUCCCACGGCGAUGCUCACAUACACCCGGUCGGUGGUCUCCGCCGCAAAAGACGCAUCGCUCUGCACCGCGACUCUUGGGCUGAGAGCGUGGAUACUUCGGGGGCCUCUUGGAGCUAGACUGUCCCUCCGAGCCACCGCCCUGCCUUUUCUUGCCUUUAUCCUUGUCGAACGCCUCACGGUCCUCACGCUUGCAAGCGUUCCCGUGCUCGACCCAUAAUGCGCGGUCUAAUGCCCCCGCCAAAGUGUGGAACUUGAAGGCAUGCACCAACUUGAAUACUCCCGGCCGGAGUCCUCGAACAAAACAAUCCGCCCGGUCAUGCUCUGUCAUCGUCACGUCCGGGACACAACUCAGGAGAUGGGUGAACUCCCGCUCGUACUCCCGAACCAUGCGGUUGCCUUGCUUGAGCUUGCGAAAAUCUUCCCGCAUCUUUCUCUUGUCGCUGUCGGGAAAGUACUCAGCGAACAACAGCUUGCGAAACUUCGCCCAAUCAAUCGGGGGAAGCUCCGGGGAUCUGUCCUGCUUGACCCUCUUCCACCAAGUCCUGGCCCCCUUCUCGAAGCAAUGAGCGGCCAAGCUCACCUUGUCCUUCUCCAAGGUGAAGAUAUCCUCAAAUAGAGUCUCGAUAGCCGUCAGCCAAGACUCCACCGCCGCUGGAUCUACCACCUCUUCGUCGAAAGUAGGCGGGCGAAACUUCGUAAACCUCGUGAGCGCCACGUAGCCGCGCUCACGCUCCGUCUCCUCAGCCGCCACCGUGGGCGUAGGAGAACUCGAACUGGUUGGAGGAAUAUCCACCGGUGGGGGUUGCGCCGCCACCGGAACCGAUACUCCACCCACACCCUCGGCCGCAUCAGGGGCGCGAACCGAAGGUCCAGGCGGACCGUGGCCUGGACCCGCUGCCGCAGCCGCCGCCGCAACUUGCUGCUCCAGCAACUCUUGGAACCUAUCGAACUGUUCAGUGAGCGCCGCAACUUGCGCUCGCAACUCCUGCACCUCAGGAGGCCCAGCUGGCCCUGGCGCCACUGGAGGCACGGCUGGCUCGGGCACCUCUUGAGGUGGUGCUGGAGCGGUCCUACGCACAUAGCGUCUCUUUGGUGCCAUAGCUCCUGAAACGCAAAUAAUUGGUUAAUUACUUAACCCAACAAUAUCGUCGUAAUUACGAAACGUAACGAUUAAGCAACAUCAAUCAGGCGGUAGAUUGCAAGUGUCUUAGUUCUCGACUUUCGGCAUCAUGUUGUCGGCCGCCAACACAAUCACCUUAAGCCAAAAAUUAAUACCACUUGGAUCAUCUCUAGCCAUAACUAGAGUAACAACACCAACUUCAACCCAAUCCAUUAGCUUCCGCCGCGUCAUAGGUUCACGUCGUACUCACGUACAUGUAACCUUAGGGUUAACCAACCUAGAGUCUCCUAGGUCACCCUAGACUCUCUCUCUUUUGCUUGCUCUUGACUCGCUCUGAUACCACAACUGUUACGCUCCCGACCGCACUACCCGAAAACGGUACCAAUUUGGUCCAUUUCGAGGGCGGCGGGCGUGAUGCCGAACGGACAGAGUCUCCCCUGUCCGCCCAAGGCUAACCAACCAGAUUGUCUACAACAAGUCCCCAGGAAUACAACUUGAAUUCAUACACAAUCAAACAACGAUAAUCGAGAGCACAAACAGUAUAUAUCAACAAGAGCAAGCGAUACAAGUAAACAGUAUACAAGUAUUCAAAAGAGAGAAACUUAACGAUUUGAGACAUUUAACCUCUUUCGAUAUCAUUUAAACAUUAAUCAUUUAAUACAACUUGCAUUCUCUUCCCAAAAUGUAAAUACAUCAUAUACUCUCCAAAACCUCACCCUAUACAACAACUACUCUCAAAAUGUAAAGCAGGGUGAACUAAUGCAAGUAGGAAGUAAGCUAUCGACUAAUACGCUAGGGUGCCAAGCCCUUGCCGUGAUCCUCCCGCUUAGUCGGGACGCUCGAACUAGCACCUGCAACGUGGGGUGUGAGAACUACGAAUAGUUCCCAGUGGGUUCGGCCGCCGACUCCACCGAUCUACCCACUAGGUCUUAAGCAGGCAUAGAGAGAUAUAUAUAUAUAUGCAAUAUAUAUAAAGCUAAACUGAACUGAAAGCGGGUAUGUAAAACAGGUCUAUCAAGCUAUGCCUCAAUCUGAUAUCAUGGAUGCAUGAACAAUAAAUAAAGCUGGAUAAAUAAGCAACUAUGAACAACAACAACAACUAUGAAAGCUAGCUAUCAUGAGCAAUAAUAAUGAGCAUGACUCAAUAGGUAACCAAAUCUCAAGGUGAACUCGUGGUUCACAAGCAUAACUCACGUGUAAAUCUCAUAGGGAAAGUCUCACUGAACUACUCCCCGAGACCGCCUGCGGACAGCACACUGACCGUCCAAACAGCACACUGACUGUCUCUCUAGUGACCAACCUUCGGAGUGCACAGCUUAUGGGGAGCGACCCUUCCAAGCGCAGACAGGCUAUGUGAGCACGAUCAACUCACGAACAGCAGCAACCUACCCUCUAAGGGUAAUCUCAUCAUAGAAUCAAGGUAUACUUGUACCCAAUCUCAUAGUGUCUCAACUACACUAAUGUUUUCAUAUCAAGGUCAUCAACAAUCAUAUGCCACUCAUCAUAGUUUUCUAACUAGAUGCCACUUGUCAUUUGGACUCAUUAUCAACACUAGUCACAUCAUACUAGUUCUUUAGCAACAUAAGCAUUAAUCAUCUCACAUAGGGUCAAGGUCUUUAUCAUAGAGUUUUUAUCAUAUAAUCAUCAUGCAUACAAGAUCAUGAACCAACCAAGCAAGAUACAUUAAGCUACUAGCAUACAAUUAUAAGCGACAAUCCAUCUCUAGCCCUAUAUGAAUAUGCACAAUAUGCAAUUAGAUCAACUUAUAAAACUUAGACAUAGAAGGUAGCCCGAUUGCUUUGGGAUGGUCACCACCCACCUUGUGGUAGUACCGUAGAGCUAAGAAACUCGGCGUCGCGGUCCACGUACGCCGCUUCAACACCUUGGGUCAAAACGAACCCUAGAGCACCCAAUCGGCUAUAUCUCCGCACUCGCUCGACGGAUCGACGAAUCGUCUUCGCCUACGCGUUUGGAAGCAUAGAAAUUAUGUUUCUAACCCACCAAAAGAGAUCAAAACCUUACAUUUCCAAAAAUUCCAAAAUCAAACCCUAGGUUUGCAAUAAUAGAGAAAUCAUGGUUUUAAGCUUCAAAUCUGAGAUUGAACCUUCUCUUAAGCUCCAAUGGUUUCCAUUUGAACCACUCUUAAGCAACAAAACCCUUUUUAAAACCUAGGUCUAGCAUCUAUGAGGAAACCAUGGGUGCUAGCUUCAAGUUUGAGCUAGAUCCAUCAUCUCUAAACCCAAGAGGUUCCAUUAGAACCCUUAAAACCAACAAAAAGCUACAAACCCUAGAAAUCUCAUGUUUAGGGUUUAGGCUUACCUCUAGGGUUUGCUCCAAAGCAAGCCCUAACUUGAGGAAGAGAGGGAGAAGAGCUUCUUCUUCUUCUCCUUGGCCUUCUCCUUCAUUUUCUUCUCUUUCUUGUUCUUCCUCUCCUUCUAUUCUUCUUCUCCUUCUUUCGUUCUAGAGAGAGAGAGAGGAGUUUGAGAGGUAGAGAGAGAGAGAUCUGAGAGAGAAAGAGGGCUGAGAGAGGCCUAAUAGCUCUCUAUUGUAACAAUAUCUCAAAGGCCCUCUCUAUUUUCUAAUUUCCAAAAACAGCCCUUACUGUUCGGGUCCCUUGUACCAGUAUACGGGUUCUUGUACCGGUACAAGGUCUGGGUGACAGCCAAAACCGAGAGCAAACCCGAGAGCUCGGGUCUCGAUUUUCGUCGGGCUUGUACCGGAACAAGCCCCUUGUACCGGUACAGCAGCUGGAGCCCUCCAAAACCCGAGAGCUGCGAUGACUGUACCGGUACAGCCAUCACCCUUGUACCGGUACAGCAGCUCCAGAAUGUUGUUUUCACUCUGUUUCGGCUCCACCUCUCGCCGAUCGAUGUCAAAACCAUUUCAACACUUUUAGAACUCAUUUUUGCUCUUCCAAACUUGUUGGAAUGCCGAAUGGAACUUGUCCAAACCGUUCAAUCGCUAACUUUGGCCCAUUUGGCCAAAGUUAGCCAAUAUCGUCGAAUUUCGAUAUCUCACAGGUACUCUUGCCCGUGGUACCGGUAUGCAGUGCAGACUACAACCUGGCAGUUUUUGGAGGUUCUUUUUGUAAUUGUCCGAACACCUUAUAUACCCCAUACCCCUUGGGCAGGGGCUUGUGUGCUGCGACCAGAGAAGGGAGAGGUGAGUUUUCACCAUAUUUUCCAUGGUUUUUCUCUCUUUUGUUGGGAUUUUUGGAGGUUUGAUCUUCCUCUUUUGCUUCUUUUUCCUUGUUGGUGGCGCUUCCACCAUGAGAGAAGACUUGGAGCUUGGAGUAGAGCUUGUUGGAGUGAUCUUCAACCCUAGCUCAUUUCAAGCCUAGUUGGGAGCUUCUUAAGAGGUUUGUAGCAUGUUUCUCUCUUCUGAUACAUGUUUUGGUGGAUUUCUUGAGAUGAAACCAUAACAUGAGAAAUCUAGGGUUUACUUGGAGAUUUUUUAUUAGAAGCUUUUGGAGUACAAUUAAUUGGUUUAGAACCUUUGUUUAGGUUGGAUUUGAAGGGAUCUAGCUCACAUUUGGGAUUUGAGAGGGUUUUUCUACAUUACAGGUGAGUUUUAAUCCUUUUCUUGGGUUGGUUAAAGUUGAACACGUGGAGUGUUCGUUCAUUUUGUCUAACUCUCCUAAAAUUUUUUUUAGGGAGCUAGGAGAUGUGAGGACACCUUCGUCGGUACAAACGACGGGAAUUUGAGGAGUCUUGGUCGGUUUGAACUCACCGAAAUGAGAAAAAUUUCACAUAUGUCGUUUUAAUUGUCGUAAAAUAGAAAAUCAUGCAUGUUCAUGCUAGAUAGGGCAUAUGUGAAUUUUAGAAUGCUUAAGAUGUGUAUGUUAUGUUUCAUAAAAAUUACCUCUAUAUAGUAGAGAGAGAUAUGUGCAUUGUUAGCAUGCAUGAGAAUAGCAUUCUAUUAUAUAAUUUGGAAUCAUGUUUCUUGCAAUAAAAAUGACUAGAAUAACAUGCUCUUCGAUGUAAAACUCAUGUUUGACAUAGUGGACAAAAAUGCCAUAAAGGGACAUUUAACUUAGCAAAUGGUUAAACUCCUACAUGAUGACAUAGUAAUAGGCCAUUGGAUCACUAGCCUUUAUACCAUAUUUUAGACAUGAUGAUAUUGGACUUGAGACAAAUAUUUACGCUUGCUUGCCAUUGUGCUUAUUCGCACAUACUUGUGAGGGUCGCUCCCCACAAGCCGGCACUUCGGAGAUAGCCAUUGCGACAUAAGCUCGCUUGUGCGGGAUUGGGCGCCGAAAUGGGAUGCCGUGGGGGAGGCUCAUUCCUAGAGUGGGAAUGUUGACUACCACGGGGCCAUUAGGCACGGCACAAGCCGGACUACCCAUGGGUAGGUCCUACAUAAUUGGAACAUUAUUGAACUAAAAUGCAAGGUGGACAUUAGACAAAUUAGUAAACAAUGUUAUUUUACUAGUUGCAUUUGUGGAUAUUAUGUUGUUUACAUACAUGCCUAUUCAUGUUAGAAUAGUUUCUACUUGUAGAACUUCAUGCUUAGUAGAGGCAUAGUAGUUUAGUAAGUUUAAUUCAUGUUUAUCAUACAUGUCGUUCAUUCCAUUUAAAUAUUAGAACUUACUCUUUUUGCCUUUUUAGCCUAGUGGUGUAUUUCGCGGAGGUCAGCGAUUGCCCACUGGGAACUAUUGUUUAAUAGUUCCCACGCCCCCUGUUUUGUUGUUUUCUUUCAGAGCCAUCCACACCGGGAGAGGCUCGGGAUCGUGGUAAAGGGAUCGCUACUGUCACACCCCGGGACCGGCCGAGGCCCUCCCGGUAGCGUGCCCAGACCCGCCAUAUGUCAGGAAAUAUAAGGCGUCUACAUCAACAGCGGAAAAUAAAAUCAAAGAUAAACAACAUCAAAAGAUAUCAGAGCACAAAUAGAGUUAUCAUCUACAACAAGGUAAAAGAAAAAUACUAAAACAAUAAGAGUGAAACAUAUAGUUAUACAAUAUCUGUCCAAAAUAGUACACAAAAGGGUGGUCUCUAAUACACUGGUGCAGCUCUCAACCUCUCCAAAAUAAAAAUAUCGGGAGGUAGACCACCUAUCAACUCAUCACUCGCUGAAGAGCUAGCUCGAAGCAAUGCCCUUUCCACGGUCCCUAGCCUCUCCCGGCGUGGAAGGCUCUGAAAGAAAAUAUAAAAUAGAGGGCGUGAGAACUAUAAUUUAUAGUUCCCAGUGGGCAAUUACUGACCUCAGCUCAAUGCAUCACUAGGCCCCAAAGAAAGGGUAAGUCUAAAAAGAGAGCAAUAGAAAUGAAUAAUUGCAUUUAUGAAAGCAUAAUUAAAAGCUAAGAUACUACUUUGCAAUUAAACAUGGUGUUAAUAUUAUGCACCUUUACUUGUCAUAAACAAUAUGUCUCUACAUGGCCACAAGUAAAUAUCACGGUUUACCUUAUGAAGUUGUAAAGAUCAUGCUUUAUCAUGGCAAUAAUGUGUAUAUGAAUGCAAUUAGCAACAUCUCCUAGCAUACUACAUGUAUGUAUGCAUGCUCAAGUGUCCAAAAUCAUGCUAGAAGUAAGUCCAAGUAAUCCAACUACUACUCUCUAUCUAGUAGUGAUUAAAACCCACUCAACACCGUGUCAAUUUUCAUUUCCAAUUAAGGACCUACCCAAGGUAGUCCAACUUGUGCCGCCUAAGUGCCUGUGGUAGCCUACAUUCCUGCUCUUAGAAUGUGUCUGUCCCACUCAACCCCGUAGGCUUCUCAAUACCGCACGAGCGAACAUAGGUCGCGUAGGCUAACUCCGGAGUGCCGGCUUGUAGGGAGCGACCCUCACAAGCAUGUGCGAAUGAGCACAAAUGGCAAGCAAGCGUAGUUAAAGGCUCAAGUAUCCAACUCUCAUGUCUCAAACAUGGCAAUAGCUACUAGUAACCCAACGAUUUAGCUCUAUGUCACAAUGUGCUAACCCAACACCCACUGGCUUAGUGCCUCUUUAUGACACUUAAGCAUCACAACUAAUCAAGCCCAAUUCAUAUUCUAUAUCCCAAUUAAGACAUUAAUACCAAUGUUCACUAUAGCCCGGGCCCAAUGCCUCUUAAUGACAUUGGCCCAAUUUCUCAAAUAGUCUAAGUCCCCAAGCCUCUCUAGGCGUCCAAAGUCCCUAAUGUCACAAUUGGGCAUGAAGAUUAAAUGUAUAAAAGUAAUGUUCAUUUUCAUAAUAGAAAUCAUGGUUCCAAGUCUCAACUAGAAUGCUAUAUCUCACAUGCAUGCACUCUAUCACAUAGAGAUCCAAAAAUUUACUAUACAUUACAUGGGCAUGUUAAGCAUUCUAAAAUUCAUAAUAAAUAUAUCUAACAUGAUUAUGCAUGCUUUAUCAUUUAACGAUACUCAAAUCAUCACAAAUGAGAUUUUCUCAUUGUGUGGCUAGGUCAAACCCACCGAACCGUCGCGUAGUCCCUCGUUUCGCCGAACGGAGUUGUCCACGAGUCUCAAAAUAUCCUAAAAAUAAUGAGCGAAGAGAUACAUGGGCAUUACGAUCAACGAUAAGAUCAAACAUUAAGCAUCAAGGCAAAAGGGCUAAAAUCUCACCUAGGGAGUAGAAAAUCUUUCCCAAGCUCCAAAAAAAAGCUAGAAUCCUUCCAAUCUAACCCAAAGGAAGGUUCUAAUCCAAGAAAUUAAGCUCCAAAAGCCCUAGGUUCAAAAUGCCCAAAACAAACCCUAAGUUCCCAAUCUAGGGUUUCAUCUCAAAAAGGAUCAAAAGGAGAAAACAAGUUUCCAACCUUUCAAGAAGCUCCCAACUAGGCUCCAAAUCAACCAAGGUUGGAGAUCUCCUCUCUAAUGAGCUCCUCUCCAAGAUCCAAGCCUCCAACAAGGGUGGAAAAUGCUCUAGGAUGCAAAAGAGAGGAAAAACUAUCUAAAUCCAAGCAAAAAAAAGAGAUAAAAUCCAAGGAGGGAGAAGAGAGGGAGUCCCUACCUUCUUCUCCUGUGUUCUCAGCUCAGGGAGAGCUCUAGGGGUCGUGGGUGCUAUAUAGAAUAGCCACAAUUGCGAAAAACCCCCUGCAGUUCAAAUUGCUCAAAAAUUGCUACUGCGUACCGGUAUACGGGCCCACGUACCGGUACACAUCCCACGAAAAUACCAAACCCGAGCCUCGGGUUGGCUGGGAAGCUGCCUGUGUACCGGUACACAAUCCCAUACCGGUACAACCAUCAACCCUGUACCGGUACAGCCAUCAACCCUGUACCGGCACACAGCCCAAUGAAGGCUACCCGAGAGCUAACCAAAAAUCUGAUUUUUCGGGUUUUAGUGCUAGGCUUCAGACCUCAAUCCUCGGGGUUCGAACCAUAGGUCGGAACACUGUCUACGACCCACCAGAAAGUCUGAAAAAACUCAGGACACAUCCAAUCACUCGAACCUCGCAAUUUGCAAAGGUCCAGUGUGUUACAUUCACCCCUCCUAAAAAGGAGUUUUGUCCGCGAAACUCAAAAGUAAAGUACCUCAAGCCUCCAUCUGAAAAGGAUAGGGAUAGCUCUCCCGCAGUGCGCUCUCCAACUCCCAAGUGGCCUCGCGCUCGUCGUGGUUGCUCCAAAGCACCUUCACGUUGGGAAUCUCACGGUUCCGCAGGCUCUUUACCUCGCAAGCCAAAAUCCUCAAAAGUUGCUCUUCAAAGCUCAAAUCAUCCCUCAGCUUCACUGGUGUAGCAUCCAACACGUGAGCCGAAUCAUAGAUGUACCUCCGAAGGACUGAUACAUGAAACACAUUGUGUACACCCGAUAGGUUUGGCGGUAGAGCAAGUCGAUACACUACCGGGCCUACACGCUCCAAAACCUCAUACGGUCCAAUGAAUCGGGGGCUCAACUUGCCCCGGAUUCCAAAUCUCCUAAUCCCUCUGGUCAGCGAGACUUUCAAGAAGACAUGGUCUCCAAUCUGAAACUCCAAGUCCCGUCGACGCUUGUCAGCAUAACUCUUUUGCCUACUCUGGGCUGUCAACAGUCGCUCCCUGGCAAUGCGAACCUUGUCCUCUGCUUCUUGGAGCAUAUCGGGGCCUAAAGCCAAUCUCUCGCAAACUUCACUCCAGUGAAGUGGCGAUCUGCACUUCCGUCCAUAAAGUGCCUCAAAUGGUGCCAUCUUGAUGCUUACUUGGUAACUGUUGUUAUAAGCAAACUCUGCCAUUGGUAGAUGCUGCGACCAUCCUCCCUGGAAGUUGAUCACACAGGCUCGAAGCAUGUCCUCAAGUGUCUGUAUAGUGCGCUCUGACUGCCGAUCACACUGAGGGUGGAAAGCUGUACUGAAGUCCAAGGGUGUGCCCAAGGCAUCCUGUAAGCUCCGCCAAAAGUGAGAUACAAAUCGGGGGUCUCGAUCUGACACUAUGGAAGUAGGUACCCCGUGCAGUCGUACAAUCUCAUCUAAAUAUACUUGUGCGAGUCUCUCACCAGUCCAACUAGUGUUGAUAGGUAUGAAAUGUGCCGAUUUCGUCAAUCUAUCCACGAUCACCCAUAUAGCAUCAUGCCCGGCCUGCGAGCGGGGCAACCCCACCACAAAGCCCAUGGUGAUCUUUUUCCAUUUCCACACUGGAAUCGCCAAGCUCUGCAAUUUCCCUGCGGGGACUCGGUGCUCAGCUUUAACCUGUUGGCAAGUUAAACAUCUAGCAACAAACUCACCAACGUCUUUCUUCAUCCCGGGCCACCAAUAAAUCAACUUCAAGUCCUUGUACAUCUUGGUGCCUUCCGGAUGUAUAGCAUACGGUGCUCGGUGUGCCUCUCAAAGAAUUUCUUCUUUAAGUGCCGAUUCCGCCGGUACACAUAUCCGUCCACGGAAGCGCAUCAGUCCAACACCGUCCACAGAAAAGUCAUCGGUGCAACCGUCAAUCAUCUUAGCUCGAAUCCUUUGCAACUCCACAUCGGAGACUUGCUUUUCUUUAAUCCUUUCCACAAGAGUAGGUCGCACCAUCAAAGUCAUCAGUCUCAAAGGUGUAUCAGGAGCCACCACCUCCAACUCCAACUGCUUCAUCUGCUCGAUCAAUGGCGGUUGAGUAACCACAAGUAUCGCUAAGUUUUUCGUCGAUUUCUUACUUAGCGUAUCCGCCACCACGUUAGCCUUGCCCGGGUGGUAAAGUAUCAUCAAAUCGUAAUCCUUGAGUAGCUCCAACCAUCUGCGCUGCCUCAAGUUCAACUCCUUCUGAGUAAAUAAAUACUUUAAGCUUUUGUGAUCCGUAUACACUUCACACUGCUCGCCGUAGAGAUAAUGGCGCCAUAGCUUCAACGCAAAGACUACGGCCGCCAACUCCAAGUCGUGAGUAGGAUAAUUCCUUUUAUAAUCCUUUAGUUGGCGAGAAGCAUACACGAUUACCUUCCCAUCCUGCAUCAAAACACAUCCCAAUCUAUUAAAGGAAGCGUCGCUAUAAAUCACAUAUCCUGCUCCAGUAACUGGCAAGGUUAGGAUCGGGGCGGUAGUCAGUCUCUGCUUCAACUCUUGGAAGCUCCUUUCACAUGCAUCAUUCGAAAUGAACUUGGUGCCCUUAUGCGUGAGCCUCGUGAGGGGAGUAGAUAAUCUUGCAAACCCCUCGACAAACCGUCGGUAGUAGCCGGCCAAACCAAAGAAGCUCCGAAUCUCCGUGACAUUCGUCGGCCUUGGCCAAUCUUUGAUAGCUUCAAUUUUUCUCGGGUCCACGCCUAUGCCUGAUCCUGAAAUCACAUAGCCCAAAAACGCCACCUCUCUAAGCCAAAAUUAACACUUUUUCAGCUUGGCAUAGAGCUUCCUUUUCCGAAGUACUUGAAGUACAAGUCUCAAGUGUUCCUCGUGAUCCGCAUCACUCCGGGAAUAAACUAAGAUGUCGUUGAUGAAUACCACGACGAACCUGUCUAGAUAAGGCUUAAACACAAGGUUCAUAAGAUCCAUAAAAGCUGCCGGAGCAUUAGUAAGCCCGAACGGCAUCACAGUAAAUUCAUAAUGUCCAUACUGUGUUCUAAAAGCCGUCUUUGACACAUCCUCAGGCUUGAUCUUUAACUGGUGAUAUCCGGACUGCAGGUCGAUCUUGGAAUACACACUGGAUCCCUGUAACUGAUCAAAUAGAUCGUCGAUCCUCGGCAAUGGAUACUUAUUUUUAAUCGUGACUUUGUUAAGUUCACGAUAGUCCACGCAUAAGCGAAGUGAUCCAUCAUAUUUCUUAACAAAUAGAACCGGUGCUCCCCAAGGUGACACACUCGGUCGCACAAAACCCUUAUCCAAAAGAUCCUCCAACUGUGCCUUCAGCUCUCUCAAUUCUGCUGGUGCCAUCCUAUAGGGCGCCUUUGAGAUUGGAGUAGUCCCGGGAACGAGAUCUACCACAAACUCAAUCUCCCUAUCAGGUGGCAUGCCUGGAAGCUCUACUGGAAACACAUCUCCAAACUCCCGCACUACGGGGAUAUCCUAAAUCCUGGGGUCAUUAUCAUCACCCCUCAACACAAUAGUAGCCAAGUAGACCACACAGCCUCUACUAAUCAACUGCCUAGCUCGCGAGGAGCUAAUCGUCAUCGCAAACAGCGAACUCUGGCAUCCACGGUACACAACCUCCGCCUGCCCCAGCUUUCUAAAUGUCACAGUUCGAUCCUUGCAAUCGAUAGUGGCGUAGUACUUAGUCAACUAAUUCAUGCUCAAGACAACAUCAAACUCUCCGAGUUUAUGCAAAGCUAAAAGGUCUACGGGCAUAAUCCAAUCUCUAACCCGAACAGAGCAACUGGGGCAGAACUCCCGAAUAUCUAAAGUGUGAUCGGGCACAACAACUCGUCGAGGAUGCAAAAAAGAUGUCAGUGGGAUGCCAUGCAACUCGGCAAACAACCGGUCUAUGAAUGAAUGCGAUGCACCGGUAUCAAACAAUGCUCGUACUCGAAUACCAUAAAGUAAAAUGAUAGCUGCGACCACAUUCUCGGCUGCUGCUGCCUCCUCAGUCUGAGCCGCGUACAUGCGCCCGCUCGGGGCCUGUCGUGACUGUUAGAUGUAUGCCCUAGAAGCCAACCAGGACGACACAUGUAUUCUUUCUAGGACAUAAAUUUGUAUUUGACUUUAAAUAUUAUGAAUAACUUUGGGUUUUUUAUAUUUCCAUUCAUGUUGUGUAUGUGUCCAUGAAUCGUCCAAGGAAUUAAUAAGAUGAUGACAUAUAUUCUCAAGAGUUGAGAAUUUGAGACAUGUGUCAUUGGUGGUUAAUUCCUAAAUGCUCCCGAUCAAUGGAUCAUCACGGGGACGGUGAUUGAUCCGGUGAGAUUGGUGCAUAGGUAGCUUCCCUUUUGGGUAGACGAGUUUCGAGUCGACAGUGUGGGGACACUGAAGCGAAUAUGCAGGUGGUUGUUAGAGAACAAGGGUACCGAGCGUGACCAACGCGAGAAGUCACUUGGAUGUCUACUCACUCGUCAGUGACUUACUCAAUUGUUGCAGUAGUGUGACUGGUCCUUUGACCUGCGGUGCCUCGGCUAUUCACAAUGAGGUUACUGUAGUUUGACUGUACAUACACUUGGUCCCUAGCCAUUCGGGUCCUUGCGGUGCAUGUUGGCUGCAGUAGGUUCAUUGUAGGAAUAGGGUGCGCACUUAGAUGGAAUCUAUCUCCCUUGGUAGAUAGGGGUGUUAGUCCUAUGUGAUUUAUGAGACCGAGUUUAGAAGACCUUGGCCAGGGCAGAAUAAAUAGCGGAAAAGGGUUUCCGAUAUUAGAAACUCGAGUCGAAUAAAUUUAACAUAUGACAGACGAUGGGGUUUGACGAGUUAUUCCAUAACCUCCGUCUAGUCGGGACUCAUGAUAGAAGGAUUGUAUCACACGGUAACUGCACCAAGAGGUUCAGUAUUCCAUUCUACUGGAAUGCCACUACAUGCUGCUAGGCGUCACUGGUGGAUUGUGAGACUCAUGAGAAUUAUCUAGAUGAUCGAUAAUUCUCAUUGGGCUGAGUUGGAAUUGUUCUAAUCCAUUGAAAGGAGUUUCAGUGAUAUUGUUGAUAGUGAUCAAAAUAUAUCUCACUACCAGAUAGAAUAGAACCUAUGGGGUCACACACAUAAGAGGUUGUGAUUGAUCGGAUAGCUAGAUCGCGAUUAUUGAAUCGCCGGAGGACCUAAUUGUCAAUAUAUUGAUAAUUGGACUAAUUUGUAAUUGUUACAAAUUAGUGGUAUUAAAGUGUAAACAUUACAGGAGAGCACUUACUAAUAGUUAGUAAAUUAUAAGAGGACUUAUGUGCAAAUGUUGCAUUAUUACUUUGAUAAGAUCAAAUUAAUAUAAAAUUCAAGUCGAAUCAAAUUAGGAUUUGAUCGAUCUAACCAAUUAAGGAAAAGAUAAAUUUAAAUCUAGAUUUAUACUUAUCCUUAAUUGUCAUUAUAUUAUUAGGAAUAGGAUUAUAUUCUUAUAUAUAAUAUACGGGAGUUUUUAGAAAACCCUAGCCGUCAUCUAUUCUCUUUUCUCUCUUCCAUCUUCUAGCAAGAAAGACGUCCUUUUGCAAGGGAGCUAGCACCCCGGUGAGGACAUCGAUCAAAUCAAGAACAUUGUGUGGAUACCUAUAGAGGCCGGACGCGUGUGCGGCUUCAAGAGAACCGAAUUCCACGAUCAUCAAAUUGAGGGGAAGAUCUAUCCGCGAAAAAGGUAAAGAUUCGAUCUUGUUUUUCUUCUUUAAUCUUAAAACAUGAGGGAUCCUAAUUGCGUGGUUUUUGAGAUUGGAUCUCGAAAGUUUUUCAGAAUCAAAUUUGUUUGAUUUCUUUUUCCGCUGCGUUUUACUGUACGUAAUUUUCUAACAGUGACCCCUCCAUCUGUCGCUGGACAGGUGGCCGCCCAGCCUGGUGAGGUGCAGGAAGUGUCCCCUGGCUGGGACCCGGUGAAGCUGGUGCUGAUGCCGAUGAUGGCGCUGGCGCUGAACCCCUGAGGCAGUCCGACUGAAGGUGGCCCUCCUGGACACAUAGAUAGCACCUGCCCCGACUGCGCGUGCACUGUCGUAGGAAAUGUGGGCCACCACAGAUCACGCAGCGCGGGGCCUGGCGUCGAUCAGGACCUCCUCGCUCGGUAGACUGGCCACGUCCUCGCGACUGGCUCCGACUCCUGGGAUGCCUCGGCGGCCUCCGUGAGUACGUCUGACUCGCACCCUCAGCCGCUGUCCUCUUGCCCUUGCCCUUGUCUAGGGCCUCGUGUCGCUCCUGAAGGUCUGCCGCUCCAGCUUCCACAAUGAGUGCACGGUCCACAACCUCCCGGUAGGUUUGGAGGUUGGAGGACUGCACCAACCGGAAGAUCGAAGGCCGUAAUCCACGCUAAAAAAUGCGGGCAUUAUCCUCGUCAUCCUGUACCAUAAAUGGUACACAGCAGAGUAGCCGAGAAAACUCCCUCUCGUACUCGGCCACAGAUCGCUCCUCCUGGCGCAAGCUGCGCAAGUCCUGCUCCAUCUUUCUCUUGGCGCUAGUAGGGAAGUAGUGCGCCAGAAGCAGCUCCUUGAACCUCGCCCAAGAGAUCACUGCCAAGUCUGUGUUGGGGUUGUCCAGGAUAUCCAACCACCAACGGUAGGCCUCGCCGUCUAGGAAGUGUGUGGCAAGCCACAAUCUGUCCCUCUUCUCCACAAAGGUAUCUCAAAAUAGCUUCUCCAUAUGCAUAAGCCACUUUUCCACUAUCCAAUGGUCAACGUUCUCCCCGUCAAAGGCCCGGGGGCUGCAUCUCCUGAACUCACUGAGACGCUCCAUAAGCCGAUCCCGCUAGGCUCCCUCAACCAUCGCGGGGAAAACCGCCCCCGCUACAGAUGCUCGCGCCGGUGGUGCCACGAACUCCUCUCCCCGAGGCGCAAUAUCCAGUGAUGUCCUUGGAGUACUGGGCACAACAUUAUAAAAGCGCAAGUUAGUAAAACCCACGCUAUCGCAACCCCGCUCAAUAAAUAAGUACCCAAAUCAUGCGAAAGUAAGGAAAUGCCCUUCACUACUAACUCCCGAUGUUACGUUGUCGGCCGCCAACGUAACCGUCCGUGAAGUUAGAAGCCACACACUCCGAUCAAACUCUAACUUUUUAGAGUUAUCAUCAAGCCCAAUCGAAAUACUUUCGCUAACAGUUCAAUUAGACCUCGUCUCACACGAGCCUAUUUUCUAUAGUCCAACCGGCCUAAGGUUUGCUAGGUCCACUAAGACUCAACCCUAGGCUCUGAUACCAAACUAAUCUGUCACGCCCCGGGACCGGCCGAGGCCCUCCCGGUAGCGUGCCCAGACCCGCCAUAUGUCAGCACAUAUAAGGCGUCUACAUUAACAGCGGAAAAUAAAACCAAAGAUAAACAACAUCUAGAGAUAUCAGAGCACAAAUAGAGCUAUCAUCUACAACAAGGUAAAAGGAAAAUACUAAAGCAAUAAGAGUAAAACAUAUAGUUAUACAAUAUCUGUCUAAAAUAGUACACAAAAGGGUGGUCUCUAAUACAAUGGUGCAGCUCUCAACCUCUCCAAAAUAAAAACAUCGGGAGGUAGACCACCUAUCAAUUCGUCACUCGCUGAAGAGCUAGCUCGAAGCAACGCCCUUCCCACGGUCCCUAGCCUCUCCCGGCGUGGAAGGCUCUGAAAGAAAACAUAAAACAGAGUGCGUGAUAACUAUAAUUUAUAGUUCCCAGUGGGCAAUUACUGACCUCAGCUCAAUGCACCACUAGGCCCCAAAGAAAGGGUAAGUCUAAAAAGAGAGCAAUAGAAAUGAAUAAUUGCAUUUAUGAAAGUAUAAUUAAAAGCUAAGAUACUACUUUGCAAUUAAACAAGGUGUUAAUAUCAUGCACCUUUACUUGGUAUAAACAAUAUGUCUCUACAUGGCCACAAGUAAAUGUCACGAUUUACUUUCUGAAUGUCACGCCCGGGUACCAGCGAAAGCAUAUCCGGUCGCGUGCACAGACCCACCGUGUACACCACAACUCAAGUAUACACAACGCGUCUACAAACUAUAUAGUAAAAAGCAUAUAAUUCUAACCAGGUAAUCAGAGCACGACUUUUAAACUC
RNAcentral lists this long non-coding RNA (20798 nucleotides) under Ananas comosus (pineapple). RNAcentral describes it as "long non-coding RNA (ACOM_LNC041585)". Lineage: Eukaryota; Viridiplantae; Streptophyta; Magnoliopsida; Poales; Bromeliaceae. The record is from RNAcentral.